This is a long non-coding RNA of Dreissena polymorpha, 249 nucleotides long. RefSeq lists it as uncharacterized. Lineage: Eukaryota; Metazoa; Mollusca; Bivalvia; Myida; Dreissenidae. The record is from RefSeq and is a predicted model, not a curated record. The transcript has 3 exons.
GUACCCGGUUCGUUGGAGAUCGCAGGAGCUAUGCCCGAUCCAGUGUGACGGCGGUAGCGAGUACAGCCCAUGUGGCGAGGAGAACACGUGCAUUAACAAGGAGGCAGCCGUGGGAGAGGCGCUCGAGGAUUGCGUGGAGGGAUGCUACUGUCCACCGGCAACUUACAAUUUAGAUGGAGAAUGCGUUUCACUCAGCGAUUGUCCGUGCUACAAGGAUGGUAAAGCCAUGUUGCCCGGAACAAAACACCG